RNAcentral lists this ribosomal RNA (498 nucleotides) under uncultured bacterium. RNAcentral describes it as "bacterial SSU rRNA". It matches the Rfam family "Bacterial small subunit ribosomal RNA", at positions 29 to 520 of the family's 1533-position model. The record is from RNAcentral.
AACGAACGCUGGCGGCGCGCCUAAUACAUGCAAGUCGAGCGAGAAGACGUAGCAAUACGUUUGUAAAGCGGCGAACGGGUGAGGAAUACAUGGGUAACCUACCCUCGAGUGGGGAAUAACCAGCCGAAAGGUUAGCUAAUACCGCGUACGCUCCUUGGACUUCGGUUCAGGGAGGAAAGCGAUACCGUGGGUAUCGCGCUCUUGGAUGGGCUCAUGUCCUAUCAGCUUGUUGGUGAGGUAACGGCUCACCAAGGCUUCGACGGGUAGCUGGUCUGAGAGGACGAUCAGCCACACUGGCACUGCGACACGGGCCAGACUCCUACGGGAGGCAGCAGUAAGGAAUAUUGCGCAAUGGGCGAAAGCCUGACGCAGCGACGCCGCGUGGGGGAUGAAGGUCUUCGGAUUGUAAACCCCUUUCGGGAGGGAAGAUGGAACGAGCAAUCGUUCGGACGGUACCUCCAGAAGCAGCCACGGCUAACUUCGUGCCAGCAGCCGCUG